AGUGAACGCUGGCGGUAGGCCUAACACAUGCAAGUCGAACGGCAGCACAGUGAGCGCUUGCUCUUACGGUUGGCGGGUGGCGGACGGGUGACGCAUGCAUCGGCUUCUUCUUUUUCGUGGGUGAUAUCGGGGGGAAACUGAUGCUAAUACCGCAUAUGUCCUACGGCUGAAAUCAGUAGAUCUUCGCACCUUUCCCGAUUGAUUUAGCCGGUUUCGAAUUAGCUAGUUGGCAUGGUAAAGGCCCACCAAGGCGACGAUCCGUAGCGGGUCUGAGAGGAUGAUCGGCCACACUGGAACUGAGACACGGUCCAGACUCCUACGGGAGGCAGCAGUAGGGAAUAUUCGGCAAUGGGCGAAAGCCUGAUCCAGCCAUACCGCGUGGGUGAAGAAGGCCUUCGGGUCGUAAAGCCCUUUUAUUAGGAAAGAACAGAAGUAGAAUAAACCCUGGCUGUUUUGACGGUACCCAAAGAAAAAGCACCGGCUAACUUCGUG
RNAcentral lists this ribosomal RNA (492 nucleotides) under uncultured bacterium. RNAcentral describes it as "partial 16S ribosomal RNA". It matches the Rfam family "Bacterial small subunit ribosomal RNA", at positions 29 to 507 of the family's 1533-position model. The record is from RNAcentral.